RNAcentral lists this ribosomal RNA (601 nucleotides) under uncultured archaeon. RNAcentral's name for it is "bacterial SSU rRNA". It matches the Rfam family "Archaeal small subunit ribosomal RNA", at positions 313 to 915 of the family's 1478-position model. The record is from RNAcentral.
AAUCCAGACCCUACGGGGUGCAGCAGGCGCGAAAACUUGGCAAUGCGAGCAAUCGUGACCAGGAAACUCCAAGUGCGUAGGGUAAGACCUACGCUUUUCUUGACUCUUCAAAGGUCUUGGAAUAAGGGGUGGGUAAGGACGGUGCCAGCCGCCGCGGUAAUACCGGCGCCUCAAGUGGUAGUCGCUUUUAUUGGGCCUAAAACGUCCGUAGCCGGUCUGGUGCAUUCGUGGGUAAAUCAACCCGCUCAACGGGUUGAAUUCUGCGAGCACGGCCAGACUUGGGACCGGGAGAGGUGUGGGGUACUCUCAGGGUAGGGGUAAAAUCCUGUCAUCCUGAGAGGACCACCUGUUGCGAAGGCGCCACACUAGAACGGAUCCGACGGUCAGGGACGAAACCUAGGGGCACGAACCGGAUUAGGUACCCGGGUAGUCCUAGGUGUAAACGCUGUGGACUUGAUGUUGGGGGCGCUCCGAGCGCUCUCAGUGUCGAAGCGAAGGUGAUAAGUCCACUGCCUGGGGAGUACGGUCGCAAGGCUGAAACUUAAAGGAAUUGGCGGGGGAGCACUGCAACCUGAGGAUUGUGCGGUUUAAUUGGAUUCAA